GGCGUUCGCACCUACAAAGCCGGAGAUGCACCUGCAAACAAGGCAGUUCCCCUCGCCUGCAACUCCCCCCGGGGCGGCACUUUAUUUGCAAAGCAGCGUAAUUGGUUUAAGCUUGCGGGAAAAGAAGAAGAGACGGAGAAACCCCGUGAGUCACGGCGCAGAGACACAACACUACAGACACCCAGUGCAUACGGACAGAGGCUUGAAUGCGGAUUCACCGAGGUUAACCUCCACUUGGCAAACAUCAGUGGGAACAGUCCAUACGCCUGAACACAGAGCUCCUAUACUCGUUUAAUUCGGUGCUUAAGUCUGCUCGGGAGCCUCCCAGAAGAACAGACGCCUCCGGCGAGGCUGGGAGGGGUUCACCAGCCCCAGUGCCCCGCCGGCGGUGCCUCCCCGCCGUGUGACCUCGGGGCGGUGCUGCCCCGCUUCCCAGGGCACAGCCCCGCGGGAGCAACACCCGCCGGGCCGUCGGGCAGCCCACGCAGGGCUCGCUGCGUACCUGGAAAAAGAGCAGGCACGAACCCGACGGGCGGCACGCUCCUCGGAUGCCGGUACAAAACGCGGGGCCGUUUGGCUGGAACCGCCCCCGAGGCGUAGAGGGCACCAGGUCCCGCUCCUGGCUGACCGUGCCGGGCCGUGCCAUGCCGGGCCGGGCGUUGCGCAAAGCCGCAGCGCCUCCUGUUGUCCAGCUGCGGCUCCGGGCUCUGUGCCCUGUUCCUAACGUUGCUCCCGGAGCACACAAGUAGACAUGAAAGACCUGAGAGACAUUCCUGACAUAAAAUAAAUACAUACCUCCAUCUCUGAAAAUACAUAUCCGACCAAUUAAAGGAGAAAGAAGGACAAAUAACGAAAUGAAAAGCUACAAAUAAGCUAGUGUCCGACGGUGGCAGAGAUCAGAGUAAGAAAGCAGUUUACUUUUUCUUUAUUGUAAAAAAAUAGCUCCUUAAGUAGAUAAAUCAUGAUCCAGUGUAUACAGUCACUUCAUUUUUGCUAAUCGGGUAGAUGUGAGUAUGUUGUUUGCAGAACUUCAGCUGGUAGGAUGCUCACAGUGCAGUAUGUGAUUGGCAAAGUCUGUCUUACUUUACAUAAAAAUAAAUGCUUUUGACAUUUCACACAAUUCAAGAUCAGCCGUGUAGGUAUGUAUUUCAUUUAUUGGGUGCAUUAUUUAUGUUAUGAUUUACUGAAACAUAAAUGGCAAUUCUUCCGACGUGUGUUUCAAUCACUGUGUCAGUUCUGAUGCAAUUGCUCUACGUUUUUGAAAGUUUUCUUUGUUUUAAGUGUGCUCUGUUUCUGAGCUGAGAAAGGCUUCAUCGACUGCUGUCUGUCCUUUCUUUUCUAUUUUCUUUCUUUUUUCUUUUUUUCUUUUUUUUUUUUUUUCCAACAGUACCUGUUCAUUGAAAAAAAAGGUAUUUCCACUCCUCAUGAAUCUGACUUCUCCAAAACCUGCAGUGAGUUCUCUGUGAGAACAUCUGUUUUACUGAUGCAAGCCAAAGAUCCAUCCCUGUAUUGGUCAAGCGAUGCAGAGCUGAUCAGCUCCUUGGGAUAUUCAUGUCAAUAUAAACACACCCGUUCUUCUGCAAACUGACCUUUCUAAGCAGAAGGUUGAGCUGGCAACUUGGAUUUUGUGUGGUGUAGAGUGUAGAAAUGCUACUCUUCUAUCACUGCAUAGUACCAUGUUUUCAUUUUUUUUUUUUUUUUUGCCCUGAUUUCCCUUACCUGUACAAAAUAUUCAUUCUCCUCUGUCUCUACAGCAGUUUUACAGAAAAGCAUGGGAGAGACUAGUAUCCAUCAUAACUCUUUCUCAGCUGGCUUCAGUUCUGAAAAAUCAAAUGUACAAAAUCAAGGCUGGCUUAUUUAAAGUCUUCCCCAGGGAGCAGUUCCACAGCUUUACCCAGCUUGCAGUUCCUAGAGCACAAAUGAAUUCAGGCUGUGUUAACUGCACAUUUUCUUGAGCUGUAUUAAUACGGACACUCAGCAUUGUGGGAUGUGUGGCAGUGUGAUCACUCAUAUAGAAACACUUUGGCCAUUUAUACCAUCAGGGGACAUACACUAACCUGCACAUAGAAAAAAAUGAUAUUUACCCUGGAAAAGGAUGUCUGGAGGCCCUAUGUAACACAUACCAUAGUUUUACAUUGAAAUGUGAGAAUGUGAGUGUCAACUGGUAAUACCCUAAAAUUAUAAGCAAGACACAUAAAAUAGGACAGUCAACUCGCAUCUAUGGGAAAGUAGAGGAAGGUCUGGAUUCAGUAACAUUUUAGGACUCCUCAGGGGCAGCAGCUGUUCAGUAGUUUGGAGAGUGGUUGGCUCUCCCAGCAGUUGGCCUGAGCUUCUGCUGCUCCUUCAAGCAUUUCAAGGGUAAUUCUUCCUGCUGAGCAGAUUUGAAGAGAAUGACAUCAGGAAGGUCACUUAGCUCACCAUGAGCCUUCCGUUCCGCCUUCAUGUGAGCUCACUUCUCUUUGCAACUACUGGUGAGACAAGGAAGAGGCAGGGCUAGGCAGAUUUCAUUCAUUCCUCCUCCACCCUUCCCCAGUGAACAAGGAAGCUGCCUAAAUGUUUCUGAAGUGCAUGUGGUUUCAGGGUUACUCCUUUUUAGGUAGCAACUUAAGGUGGGAUGGUUGGGAAGUAAGCCAACACUGCUUUCCUUCAUGUCCUCCGAAUGAGAGAAAUUCUGUCUUCCAGCCCAACAGUUUCAUAGUUGGAUCAGGUGGCUUUCUUACUACCUGUUGAACAUUGAAUCUUUAGCUCUUUUUCAGGAACCACUUGUUUUAUGCCAGAAAUCCUGUAAAUCUUUUCUAACCUUACCCUACAACACAACUGAAACUUCAGCUUUUGCAGACACCUCUCCUCACCCCUCGCAGGACAUUUCCUUUUGCUGAAGAAACUAAGCAGAUGUAAAGAUUUUUCUUGUGAUUAAAUAGGAUUUCAUUGUCCUUCAAUACUGACACUUCAUCUGUAAAACCUGAGGAGAACUCUUCAACUGUGAGAUCUAAAAGCACACAUGCAUUGCAUAUAGAUAGAUAGAUAGAUAGAUAGAUAGAUAGAUAGAUAGAUACACACACACAUUCACUGUCAAGUUGUUGUCCUAAGUGUAAAAAGGGUUGGGGUAGAAUAAGGGUCUGGAAAAUCUGUUUUCUAGUAUUAACUGAAAGACAAUAGAGAACAAAGAUAACAUGAUCAAGUUUUAAAUCUAAAGCUAGUAAAGGGCUGAGCCCAGCAAAGAUUUUGGCAGGUGUCUAGCUGUAAUUUCUUGAUUUAUUGCUUACAACCUUUUUUAAAGCCAGGAGUGUCUCUGACCUUGUGCCCAUAAUAAAGGCUGUGUGUGAUAGGCUUCUAGAAGUUACUCAUGUAAGUUUUCUUGAGUUGUAUAAUGAAAUGGCACAUAACUGAAAAUAUUGCAGUCUCAUCAUACCAAAAAAUAAACCUGAAA
Non-coding RNA from Anas platyrhynchos (mallard), 3430 nucleotides. NCBI's taxonomy places the organism in Eukaryota, Metazoa, Chordata, Aves, Anseriformes, Anatidae. The record is from RefSeq and is a predicted model, not a curated record.